RNAcentral lists this transfer RNA (73 nucleotides) under Erythrobacter sp. Its description in RNAcentral is "tRNA-Val". It matches the Rfam family "tRNA". Rfam says of the family: Transfer RNA (tRNA) molecules are approximately 80 nucleotides in length. Their secondary structure includes four short double-helical elements and three loops (D, anti-codon, and T loops). Further hydrogen bonds mediate the characteristic L-shaped molecular structure. tRNAs have two regions of fundamental functional importance: the anti-codon, which is responsible for specific mRNA codon recognition, and the 3' end, to which the tRNAs corresponding amino acid is attached (by aminoacyl-tRNA synthetases). tRNAs cope with the degeneracy of the genetic code in two manners: having more than one tRNA (with a specific anti-codon) for a particular amino acid; and 'wobble' base-pairing, i.e. permitting non-standard base-pairing at the 3rd anti-codon position. RNAcentral also lists the same sequence under 42 other names. The record is from RNAcentral. Lineage: Bacteria; Pseudomonadati; Pseudomonadota; Alphaproteobacteria; Sphingomonadales; Erythrobacteraceae.
GGGCGGUUAGCUCAGUUGGUAGAGCGCCUGCCUUACAAGCAGGAUGUCGCGGGUUCGAGUCCCUCACUGCCCA